Molecule: long non-coding RNA, 738 nt
Filed under: Suricata suricatta (meerkat)
Lineage: Eukaryota; Metazoa; Chordata; Mammalia; Carnivora; Herpestidae
Description: lncRNA (ENSSSUG00005013227.1)
Source: RNAcentral
AUUAAGCUUCCUCCACCAGACAGAGUAGAGGCUUGGUACUCAGUGGGAGCUCCUGGAAGAAGGUAUACCUGAGCUGGACCCUGAAGGAUGGACAGAAUCUGGGCAACCACACCAGAGGAAGAGGAGAUGCUGACUACGCAGACUGAGUUGUGGCGCAGGGCUGGACUCUUCUCUGUGCCGCCUCUCCUGUCCUCUGGUCAGUCGGUCACCUCCGUCCCUACAGGCAACACGCAGCUUUCACCGCCUUCUCCUGACUCCACCCGUGACCCCUCAUGUCUCCUUUUCAGCCCCCCUGGGAAGCGGCCCACAAUUCCAGCUCUUGACUCCCUGGCACUUCAUCUUCCGUGGCUACUGCCCUGUUUCCAGUAUCAGACGUCAAGCUCCCUGGGGCCCAGGACUCUGAUGGGGACCUUCACUGCAUCUGGUCCACACCCGGCACUCGGUUCUCAGCCAACCAUUGAGCUGAGGUUGUGUCUUUACUCACCUUUAACUUUCCUGAAUAAAUGAUAUCUUUAGGCAAAAUCACCCAUUUUAACUCAGACUUAGCGAUUAGCCAAGAGCUCUCAGUGUCCCAGAUGCAGGGGACAAAAGUCCUCUGAAAACUCUGAGCCCAAGUCACUUCUCUUUGAGCCUCAGCUGUGCCAUCUGCAAAUGGGGUCUAAAAGGACACCAUCGGGUUACUGAAUUGCUUUGUGAGGCUAAACUGAGGCUAGGGGAGGUUCCAGAAUUUAUGAAUUG